This 489-nucleotide ribosomal RNA is filed under the name uncultured bacterium. RNAcentral's name for it is "partial 16S ribosomal RNA". It matches the Rfam family "Bacterial small subunit ribosomal RNA", at positions 28 to 506 of the family's 1533-position model. The record is from RNAcentral.
GAUGAACGCUAGCUACAGGCUUAACACAUGCAAGUCGAGGGGCAGCAUGGUCUUAGCUUGCUAAGGCCGAUGGCGACCGGCGCACGGGUGAGUAACACGUAUCCAACCUGCCGUCUACUCUUGGACAGCCUUCUGAAAGGAAGAUUAAUACAAGAUGGCAUCAUGAGUCCGCAUGUUCACAUGAUUAAAGGUAUUCCGGUAGACGAUGGGGAUGCGUUCCAUUAGAUAGUAGGCGGGGUAACGGCCCACCUAGUCUUCGAUGGAUAGGGGUUCUGAGAGGAAGGUCCCCCACAUUGGAACUGAGACACGGUCCAAACUCCUACGGGAGGCAGCAGUGAGGAAUAUGAGUCAAUGGGCGCAGGCCUGAACCAGCCAAGUAGCGUGAAGGAUGACUGCCCUAUGGGUUGUAAACUUCUUUUAUAAAGGAAUAAAGUCGGGUAUGUAUACCCGUUUGCAUGUACUUUAUGAAUAAGGAUCGGCGAACUCCGU